Molecule: transfer RNA, 78 nt
Filed under: Buchnera aphidicola (Cinara cuneomaculata)
Lineage: Bacteria; Pseudomonadati; Pseudomonadota; Gammaproteobacteria; Enterobacterales; Erwiniaceae
Description: transfer RNA Arginine
Rfam family: tRNA
About the family: Transfer RNA (tRNA) molecules are approximately 80 nucleotides in length. Their secondary structure includes four short double-helical elements and three loops (D, anti-codon, and T loops).
Source: RNAcentral
GCGCUCUUAGCUCAACUUGGAUAGAGCAACAGCCUUCUAAGCUGUAGGUUACAGGUUCAAUUCCUGUAGAGCGCACAA